AAUUACAAAAAAGAGGUGAAAACAAUGAUUUAUUUGUGGGCGAAAACAAUAAUUGGUUAGCAUAUGAGAGUUGUAUAAAAAAAAAACUAGUGUAAUGCAGUCGCAAAUCAGCGCGCAUUCGGCCACUCCGACAGUCAAUCCGACCACCGCGGACAUGGUUUGCCUGGCUUGUUUGUUGCCGCUGUUUCUCGUCCCAAUCGUUAACUUAUUGCCGGUCAUCUUCGAUUUGAUCAUGGCGAAGGUUUACUGAUUGUUUGGAUGGGAGUAUCGGAAGCCGGCGAGAUCGCCUCCGGCGUGCCCUAUUAAACCCUCCGCCGCACAGACUGCCGUCAAUGGUUCAAUUUCAGGUAAAGAGGACCUUGCUGCUGCUGCUGCUGCUGCUGUUCCGUCACCAAAACCAGUUGGAGUUGAUGAUGUCAAGCAAGAUUAAAGAUGAUCUGUAUCUUGUGUAGACCACAAGUGAUUUCCUAUCUGGAGUGAGGAAGUUCUUAACUUAAAUGUUGAAAUGUAAUGUUUAUUGACAAUGUCCGACUACACUGUAUCAUGAAUUAUUUUAGCCUAAUCUACCACCAGGCCACCAGUUAAUCUUUUA
Salvia splendens (bonfire salvia) is the source of this 592-nucleotide long non-coding RNA. RefSeq lists it as uncharacterized. The transcript has 4 exons. NCBI's taxonomy places the organism in Eukaryota, Viridiplantae, Streptophyta, Magnoliopsida, Lamiales, Lamiaceae. The record is from RefSeq and is a predicted model, not a curated record.